GAUGAACGCUGGCGGCGUGCCUAAUACAUGCAAGUCGAGCGAACAGACGAGGAGCUUGCACCUCUUACGUUAGCGGCGGACGGGUGAGUAACACGUGGAUAACCUACCUAUAAGACUGGGAUAACUUCGGGAAACCGGAGCUAAUACCGCAUAAUAUCUUUAAACGUAAGGUUCAAUAGUGAAAGACGGAUUUGCAUUAACCUAUGGUUGUAUCCCUUCGUAUUUAUCUAGUUGGUAAGGUAACGGCUUACAAAGGCACGGAUGCUUAGCGGCCCUGAGAGGGUGAUCGGCCACACUGGAACUGAGACACGGCCCAGACUCCUACGGGAGGCAGCAGGAGGGAACCUUCCGCAAGGGGCGAAAGCUUGACGGAGCAACGCCGCGUGAGUGAUGAAGGUCUCCGGAUCGUAAAACUCUGUUAUUAGGGAAGAACAAAGGUGGAAUUAACUAUGCACGUCGUGACGGUACCUAAUCAGAAAGCCACGGCUAACUACGUG
RNAcentral lists this ribosomal RNA (497 nucleotides) under uncultured bacterium. Its description in RNAcentral is "partial 16S ribosomal RNA". It matches the Rfam family "Bacterial small subunit ribosomal RNA", at positions 28 to 507 of the family's 1533-position model. The record is from RNAcentral.